Molecule: long non-coding RNA, 3479 nt
Filed under: Cricetulus griseus (Chinese hamster)
Lineage: Eukaryota; Metazoa; Chordata; Mammalia; Rodentia; Cricetidae
Description: lncRNA (ENSCGRG00015042184.1)
Source: RNAcentral
CCUCGGUGCCCGGCGGCUCGUGUGCGGCCCAUUUGCCCAGGUCUGGAGGGUUUGGCGGGGCCGGCAGGAAGGAAGCCGCGGAGCGGACGCGGUGGGCGUGUGGGAUAGAGACGACGCGGGUGACCAGGUCGCAGCCGCUGGGCGUGGGCAGGGCGGAGAGCGGAGGACACUGAGGAGCCGGAGUGCACAUGUGAAACGUAUGGCCACUGUUCUGCAGCCGUCCAGGCACGAAAGGUGCUGUCCCGUGAGCCGGCUCGCGGCGACACUUGUGCAGAGCCGGGGAGGCCCGGGACCGCGCGAGCGGCGGUUUCCUUUGGCCAUUAGGCCCCGCCCACGAGGGCAAUUCCGCCGGCUCUAGGACAGGCUCCGCCCACCGCAUGCCUCGGGGGCGGGUCCACUGAGGCUCCGCCCACGGGCCCCACACCUCUCCCUUCGUCCCCGCCCACGCAAGCAAAGGCGCUCGGUCCCGAGCAGGCUCCACCCACCGCGGUCCAGGGUGGAGACCACCGAGUCCCCAGGAGCCCACGUGCCAAGGUUCACGCAAGACCCACCCCCAAGGCCAAGCCGGCUUCCCCGGCAUAGGCACCGCCCACCUUACGUCUUGGGGACUGGAUCCACCGGGGCCGCGCCCGUUUGCUGCGCAUCUACCUGCACGCCCCGCCCAUCGGCCCGGCCCACCGAAGCAAGCCGGCUCUUUCCCGGUUCUGCUGCAACUGGGCGACCCUGGACCGUUGGGAUUUUUGUGGUCUGAUUUGCAUAUGGUCAUAAGUCUGUAAGAAAACUGCAUCAUAGAGACCAGGGAUCACUCGAUUCUCUGCCUUCCCUGGUAGCUCUUUAUCGAGGGAACAGGCUUAGCUCUCUAAUUCGCUACUUCCACUGACCUUUAUUGGACAUCCCAUAUUGAUGGAGCGCGCUAGCAAGUAGACGCUCGCUCACUCGGAUGAUUUAGGAGCUGCCUUCGUCGAACCCAGGGCCUUGAGCAUGCCAGGCAAAUGCCAGGUCCCUCAGCUACAUACAUGCUCAGCCUAAGGCAGUGUAUUUUUUUUUUUUUUUUCUUUUGAGACGGUUUCUCUGUAUUGCUUUGGAGGUUGUCCUGGAAGUCGCUCGGUAGCCCAGGCUGGCCUCGAACUCAUAAUCCUCCUGCCUCUGCCUCUUUCAGCAAAUCCCACUGGCGUGUGCCACCACAACUGGCCAGUGUAUCCUCUUAACCCUUGUUUUUGUUUUGUUUUGUUUUGCCUUUGAAAAUGCCAAGCAAAGCAUUUCGGUUGUUCUCCCCAAAGUGCUGUACGAGAAAACAAACAAGAUCUGAAGGUGCUGAGGGAGGUUCUGAGAGUUUUGUCUGAGGGUGCACCUAGAUAAAAGUAAGCUUCAGGUAGGCAUGCCAGGCCAGAACGGUCGUAUUUGCAGAAGAAACCAUGAUUUCUCUCUUAAGUGGGCUAAUAAUUUCUCUAAAACAAAUGGUUAAAGCACAAAAAAACAAAAACAAACAAAAAAACAGUGCCUGGUAUUAAUUUGACAUUAACAAAAACAAAACAAAAACAAAUGCAACUUAGCAUGGUACAAAUCCCAAUCAGAAAGGAGUAGAUCUGAAGCUAUUGCAUUUGGGCCAUGGAAUGAAAAGGAGUGUGGGCUUCUCAGAGAUUAAGUCAGUGCUGCCAAAGUCCCCGUACCACCGUGCAUGGUCCAGAGUGGCACAUCCUUGAUCCGUUUGACAGACACUUGGCUGUACAUCCCCGAUGCAAACCACUGCACAAAAAACUUUCCUUUUUGGUGGCAGGGAGUCUCCCUUGUCCUCUGGUAAUUUGCAGGCCUGGAUGGAAACAAGAAACCCUGUGUCACCCUGCAGGAGACAAGUCUGCAAGGGAAGCGGUGGGGAUGGUAUAGCCCAGGACACAAUAAAGUGGGGUGCAGGAUGUUUUGCUGCUGGAGAGGAGAUGGGAAGGACAGUCUCUGAUUGGACGGGAACGGCUUGCUGGGGAGCUGGGCUUGCCUCCCAGUGCAGCGAGGAUGCUAGAGUUUAGCUGGAUAUGAACACCUUUUCAUUUCCUCAAGACGGGAACAUGUCAUCCUGCCAGGAGGCUCUCUAAACAGGAAGGUAAGCAACUCAAUAUAGUCCAUGGAAACCCCUGAAACUGACCUGAUUCACUAGGCCCCUCCCUGCCAGAGUAAGCAAUAAAAGCAAGAGUUCCCCUCAGAGGGAAGGAAGCUGAGCUACAAAGACUCAUGGAAAGAAGACCAACUGAGGGACCUGGAAGGGACACUCUCCAGCCUGUUGAACUCCCUUCAGGCAGUGCUGUGUGCUCCAGGUUCCAAGAUUUGUUAAAUGUCACCCAUACUGGGGUGGCUUUAGUGAUGCAGCUGUCUUUGAGUCAUUUCUGCUCCUGUAAGUGACCCUUCAUAUUUCUAUAAGUAACCCCCAGUAAAAUUCACUGAUUCACCCAGCGGGGCUUGGGUCUGUCACCGUGGGUUCCCUAUCUGGGGUGAGGAGAUGUGUGUUACAUUUCCCCAGGAAACAUUUUACCACAAUACUCAUUUGCAUCCGAGGAGAUGCCUGUGGCAAGGGUGUGGAAAGGGGUGCAAGGUUAAGGGUCAAGGCAGGGCGGCGUGUAAUUGGGGUGAGGCACCUCCGGUGACAGGCAGUAAUGAAGAUCACAGAUGCCUUCCAGGCAGUAAGGAAGAUCACAGAUGCCUUCCUGUGGUCUUGCUUAGGCAGCAGAGAACCAGUCCCCAGGUCUCACUAGAGGUUCAGAGAGCCUUGAAGAGGACCUGCCAGCUACAGACUGGCAUAGGCUGUGUCUCAUGCUGGGCAACGGGUUGCCUAAGACUAUCUGCGUAUCAGAUAUUUACAUUAUGAUUCAUAACAGCAAAAUUACAGGGCUUCCCGUGCUCCUAAGCCAGCUGGAGCGCAAGACAGCCCAGGAGGACCUUUCCUGUUGAGGACCAAAAACAUGGCCAAAAGCCUGGAACUUGGAUCUUGAGGGUCCUUUGGGUGUCACAGACAACUGUGGUGCGGAAGCCAGAACCUUGGGCACAGACUUUAUUUAGGAGGAUAUUGUUCACCUGAAUGGACCCGAAGCUGGCUGGACAUGCUUCACACCCCACCUUCCUGUUGUCUCCUCGGCUGCCAGUAUAACUUGGAGACCUGACUGUUCCUGGGAAAGCUGAGCCUAGCCCCUGCUCAGGGGAACAGGGUUCCCUCCAAGGUUACUCUUGGUCUGGGGAGGACCGGAGGGAGAGGCUGAUUUGUGUAUGUUCCAGAUUCUGAGUUGUGAGGGAGAGGUACUGAGUAAGCCUUUCCAUUGCCACCAUGUAUGAGAAUGCACAAGACGGAAUUUGCAGCAUUGUAAGCUUUGUUUCUCUUUCAUUUUUACUAUAGUGCUGUGGAGGGAUAUUUUUUCAGGCUGACUUUUUGUGACUUCCCAGAGCUGUGCUGAGUAAAACUCCAGCAGGAACUACAGGCAGUUGCCAGGCCCACCGAG